UACAGAGGUCUCAAGCGUUGUUCGGAAUCACUGGGCGUAAAGGGCACGCAGGCGGUCUGUUAAGUUUGGAGUGACAGUUGGUGGCUUAACUGCCAAAGUGCUUCGAAAACUGACAGACUUGAGGGCUUCAGAGGGACACGGAAUUCCGGGUGGAGUGGUGAAAUGCGUAGAGAUCCGGAGGAACACCAAAGGCGAAGGCAGUGUCCUGGGGAGUACCUGACGCUCAGGUGCGAAAGCCAGGGGAGCGAACGGG
RNAcentral lists this ribosomal RNA (253 nucleotides) under uncultured bacterium. RNAcentral's name for it is "partial 16S ribosomal RNA". It matches the Rfam family "Bacterial small subunit ribosomal RNA", at positions 524 to 776 of the family's 1533-position model. The record is from RNAcentral.